This 253-nucleotide ribosomal RNA is filed under the name uncultured bacterium. RNAcentral describes it as "partial 16S ribosomal RNA". It matches the Rfam family "Bacterial small subunit ribosomal RNA", at positions 524 to 776 of the family's 1533-position model. The record is from RNAcentral.
UACGUAGGGAGCAAGCGUUGUCCGGAAUCAUUGGGCGUAAAGAGCGUGUAGGCGGCCAGACAGGUCAGCUGUGAAAACUCGAGGCUCAACCUCGAGACGUCGGUUGAAACCGUCUGGCUAGAGUCCGGAAGAGGAGAGUGGAAUUCCCGGUGUAGCGGUGAAAUGCGCAGAUAUCGGGAAGAACACCCGUGGCGAAGGCGGCUCUCUGGGACGGUACUGACGCUGAGACGCGAAAGCGUGGGGAGCGAACAGG